CUCUCUCUCUUUCUCCUAAUUUACGUUUCACUCACCAUAUAAAUUUGGGAAACUUCAAAAACCCCUUUUAUAAUUUCUUAGUUUCUCACUUUGCCACUUUGUAAUUUAAAAUGUAUCAAUUUGCUUCCCUAUGAUUUCUUUUUUUUCUUUUCCUUAUCAAUUUUAUUAUUAUUUUUUCUUAAAUCAGUAAUAAAGUUAAAAUUAAAGGGUGCUAAAGUGAAUAUUUGAUAAAUCUAGAUAUGUAUCUAAAGUUUUUUGUAUAUAGUUUAAUAAAAUAUUAACGAAAAAGCUACCGAAAAGAUAAAAACGAAACCACAGGGGAACAAUUUGAUACAUUUUAAACCACAGGGGGACAAAGUGAGAAACUAUGAAACCACCGGGGGGGUUUUUAAAGUUUUCCCUAUAAAUUUUGAGCAAGGCUAGU
Molecule: long non-coding RNA, 424 nt
Filed under: Ananas comosus (pineapple)
Lineage: Eukaryota; Viridiplantae; Streptophyta; Magnoliopsida; Poales; Bromeliaceae
Description: long non-coding RNA (ACOM_LNC025032)
Source: RNAcentral